Molecule: ribosomal RNA, 449 nt
Filed under: uncultured bacterium
Lineage: Bacteria
Description: partial 16S ribosomal RNA
Rfam family: Bacterial small subunit ribosomal RNA
Source: RNAcentral
AACGAACGCUGGCGGCAGGCCUAACACAUGCAAGUCGAACGCCCUAGCAAUAGGGAGUGGCAGACGGGUGAGUAACACGUGGGAACGUGCCCUUCGGUUCAGAAUAACUCAGGGAAACUUGAGCUAAUACCGGAUACGUGCGAGAGCAGAAAGAUUUAUCGCCGAAGGAUCGGCCCGCGUCCGAUUAGCUAGUUGGUGAGGUAAUGGCUCACCAAGGCGACGAUCGGUAGCUGGUCUGAGAGGAUGACCAGCCACACUGGGACUGAGACACGGCCCAGACUCCUACGGGAGGCAGCAGUGGGGAAUAUUGGACAAUGGGCGCAAGCCUGAUCCAGCCAUGCCGCGUGAGUGAUGAAGGCCCUAGGGUUGUAAAGCUCUUUCGCCAGGGACGAUAAUGACGGUACCUGGAUAAGAAGCCCCGGCUAACUUCGUGCCAGCAGCCGCGGUAA